This 6120-nucleotide long non-coding RNA is filed under the name Gallus gallus (chicken). RNAcentral describes it as "long non-coding RNA NONGGAT005053". Lineage: Eukaryota; Metazoa; Chordata; Aves; Galliformes; Phasianidae. The record is from RNAcentral.
UUUUUACCCUUUCAAGAUAAUAUUUAUUCAGCACAGAGUUUAGAGAAUGAUAACAGUCCUGUAAAUACGACGCUUCAUCACCACCCAUCACCACAGACAGAGGAAAGGAACUAUUUUACUUUCUCAUAUUUAUUCUUAGAUUUCUUCCGAGAGCAUAAAAGCAUUCUAUUACGUGACCCACGGUAGUGAUGUAACCAGUCUCCAGCCAGAAAUAAACAUACUUCCUUCACCUCCUCCAGCAUGGUUUGUGCCGACAGCCAAAAGUGAAUGGCAGGGAUUGAAUAACGGAUGAAUGUUUUCCUUUCCUCUUUGUCUUCAGAGAAACAAACAGUUCACUGAGUGGAGAAAGCAAAAAUGAAAGCCUAGGAUCCUUUUCCUGCCGUUAGGACUGCUGAUGGGUGGAUGGGAGCUGUCUACUCUGCUGACUCUGGAUGCACACCGAUGCCCAACACCCCUCGCUCUGCAGCAGGGCGGUGGGUGCCGGGCAGGGAUGCUGCCAUGGAGGCUGCUUGCAGGACAUGGAUGCUGGAGCCCUGCGGGAACACUUCCCGGUGCCCACUGCUCCAGAGAGCCCCCCGGUCCAGUCUGAGGGCUGCACAGCCGGGGCCCCAUGGUGGGAAGUGGGUCCUUGCUAACAGGGAGGAAAAAGCCUCAAAGCAUUGGAAGGAAAACGAUGCAGCGGCCUCAGAUGUCCAGAGGAGUGCUGUGCGGAUCCCUCCUGGGUCCUCAUCUGCAGCUCAUCUGCAAGGUGUGAAUUCCUCACCUGUGUUGGGGUGAGCUGAGGUGUGAGUACCUACCCACUGGAAAUGAGGGGGUUUGAAAUGGUGUUAGGCUUUCUGCUGCAGUCAGCAGAGAGGGACCAGAUAUCUUGCCUAGGCUGCUGCAAUGCGAAGAACUGAGAUAACUAAGAUCAGAUUUCAAGUACGUCCUACAAGCAAAGCAGAGCAACCCUUGCUGUGCCCCGUGUUCUACCAGCUCGCUUAGUGCACUUUGCAUGCAGCGAACCUGUCUUGAGAAUGUUGAUAGAGAUUAAGCACCACCUCUUCCAGAGCAAUCUGGUUGGUUUAUAUAUCUGUAGUAGCACAAUCCUUCUGAGGCUGCCCAUUUCCCUGCUUCUGCAUCUCCGAAAUAACAGGCUGUGACAUUUCCUCUUUGAGCACGCUCAACCAGAGGCCGUCUGCUGUCUUUGGAAGGGAGUGGUGAUGCCUACAGCUCCAUCAGCUCACUUACCAGAAAUGCAGCAUCUCAAAGUGAGCGGUGCCCCUCUGCUGUUGGCUCUGUGUUGGGAAACUGAAUUUAAAACCCACAGGGCCUGCAGGUUUGUGAAUUCUCUGCCAACUGAACAAACUGUCCAUGGGUGUUUGAUCUGCGUCCUCCAUCCGCUUCUCUGCACACUGCUAAAUCAAAGCAAAGGAAGAACAUGCUGCUCUGCAUCGUGGUGUUGAGCAGUGCUGUCUUUCAGAUGAGGGGCAGUUGGGCACAUCGCCUGGAAACCUGCGGCUGUGGUGCAGAUGUCAUUUGAUGUGUUCAUAGCAUCACUGCUGUCACUGUGUGUCUGUGGUGUGGCUGCUGGUAAGUCAGUAGCAGAGGAUGCCGUGGGCAAUGCCUACUCAUGGAGGGACAGAAAACAGUGUCGCUGCUGCUGGCAGCUCUGCUCUUUGUGCCUCUCCUACCCUGGGAUGUUCGCUGCAGGGCUGUGCUGCUGCACCCAAUGGGCACUGCAAAGCUGCUCAGCUCUCCUCCCUGCUGGCAAUGCUGUGCCACUGGUUUUAAUUACUAUCUCACCUGGGACUCUGAAAUCCCUCACUACCUCGCUGCCUGUUUGAAGAAAACAAACCCUUUUUUGUUGGUGAAAAUAAUUAUUUUACCUUGAGAAGGCAAUUAAAAGCCUGAGCUCACCAGAUGUAUUUCUAAAGGACUCUUUGCAAAUCUUUGGGAGAGAAGAGAAAUAAUUCUCCUAAAUCAGGAGGCAGAUCAAUAACACACGUUGCUCUGCAGAAGGCCGUGUUUAUUUUGCCUGCCAGCAGUGAAACUCAAUAGACCCCCAGCAGUCGAAGAAGAAAUGAGACCUCUGUGGUUUUGCAUUGCCUUCAAAGCAAGACAUAAAAAGACAAAUCUCCUGGUGGGAAGUCAGCAAUCCCUGCAGAACUGCCUCCAGACUGCGCGCUUCGCUCUGAUGUUGAGAUGGGUACGGCACUCCAAGCUUAAAGGCUGUGCAGAUAUAUCUGGGAACUUUGGCAAUGGAAGCAGUGAAACCCUCACAUCCCCGGAGCUCUUCACCUGCUGUGUCAGAUGGCACUGACACUGUCAGUGCUCCGGAGUUUCUGCAUGUUGGUUUUGCUCUUCACCUUCCUCCCCACUGGGCUCAGCAGGAAAAUGGCCUCAGGGCAAAAAGCCAAGAGUCAAAGGAGAGAAAUUCAAAAGAGAAACGAAGGAAACUGGAAUCAGAGGAAAAAAAUCCAGAGGAAAAAGUGCAUCCCCAGCAGCCUGGCCGUGCUAAUUGCUGUUGGAGCUCCCUGGCAGGUGGAGGAAAAGCAAAUGUUUUGGCCAGCAUGGGCUGGGUGCCGAGGAGCCUGCUGGGUGCUGCUGGGACUGAGCAGCCGUGUUCAGCCCGGCCUGCUUUUAGCAUCACUACAUUUCCAACAUGCUCUCCUAAUCCGGGAUCAAAGCAUGCAGUCAGCAGAAGGCAUUUGGAGGGAGAACAGUGCUGUUUUCCAUCCGUUCCCCUCUGCCAAGAAAGCUGUUCUUGCUGAGGAGCUCCCAGCACGGGUUAUGGGAUCACACCGGCUUCUGGGAGUUGAUCUCUGCCCUCCUGCAAGGAGCAGAACACAGGGAGAGCCCCGUGAGCAUCCCCUGUGCUGCACAGAACGGCAGCGUCAGGCACAGAACCGCAGAGCAGAGCAGGCACUGCUCACAGCGCUGUGCAAACACUGAGCGACAACAUUUUGGAAGAGGAGCCUCCCCGCGAGAUGGGAGGCAGUGCAGAAUUAGGGGUUUUCAAUCACAGCGGCUCCACGAGAAAAGAAAUGCAGCUGCUGCUCUGAAAUCGGUCUGAAUCCUGCAGACAGCCACUGCCGUGCGGGACAAAGUGCUGCCAGGUGGGAGAAAUCCCCGUCAGCAUUCGCUGCAGGGAAGGUGGAUGGAGUAAUGAGAGCGAGCAGAGGCGUGGGAUGGAUGUUUCACUCCAGAGCUCCAAUCCAUUUAUAUAAUCAUAGUUGUUAUCGCAGUAAAUGUAAAUAACUGAUUGAGUUCAAAUGUAGUGUUUGACAACGCUGAUUCUUUGUGAGUACACACUGAAUUCUUGGAGAAUUACUUUAUUUCAUCAGACAGACCCGCAAUGUGUUCAACAGCCCUUUAGGCAUUUAGGUUGGGCCGUACUCUGUGAUUUUUCUUGCUCUCCAAAGCAUAAAGCCUCUUACAAGUUCAUGUUUUAAUCAAUUGCUUGAAUCAAAGUAUGUGGCAGUUUGGCAGCUUGCCCUUUGCUGCAUUGCUAUAGCUGCAAUAAUAGCAAUAAUGAUAUCAUGAAAAUACAAAAAGGCUGCUUUGCACCUUGUCAGCCCACGGCAAUGAAUAACCAGGAUGACCUUAAUUUGUUUUCUAUCAGAUGUGUUGGCCCACAACCUUCAGUAGCAUCCAAGAUAGGCAUCGGAGCUGCAGCCCACCUCCCCACGCUAAGCAGCAGCCUCCCUAAUUAGCCUGUGUGCAUCACAGCAGCUGCUGCUCUGGUCAGGGUCACGCGAGGGCUUCACCCCGUGCAGUUUCUGCUCUGUGCAGGAUGGAUGCUGCGCCCUGCAGCCAGGACAGAGCAGGACAGACCCCGCUGUGGUGGUCCCAGGGCUCUUUGCAGGGGGCUGUGGUGGCCAAACUGAAGUGAGAUCGGCACUGUGGGGACGGAGGGGGGUUUCAAAGGCCUGGAGACAGCUGCAUUCAGAAAUAGAUCAGAGCAGCACUUCCAUCCAAAAGGGAAAAAUAGUAAAGAGUGGCUUCAAAAUAGCGCUGUCCGUGACAUCCCACUUGUGCACGCUUUUAAUGAGGCUGGUGCUGGUCUUAACAGGAGGAUGGCCUCAAUUCCAUUAUAGCUUUGUGCUAUUGAUACAAUGCUUCUCAUAAUGAGGGCGUUAUUAUCUUUGUUGGGAAAUGCAGAAUGCAGCAGAUGCACGGUGUUAAAUAAUGACAAAGAGACUCAGCAGGAGCCAGGAGCAUGGAUGGUGCCCUGCUGGGGACGAGGGGGCCCUCGGAUGGACACUGCGAGGAUGUGCUCUGUGCUCGUCCCUGCAGAGCAGGGCAUGGAGAUGUCUGAGCUGCUGGGUGCUUCGAUUCCUCUGCUGGGAGAGGGCUCCUGGGCUCCUGCUUUGGUCGGUGCCACGGGGCUCUCUUCCCUCAGUCUGCCCUCGGGGCCAAUCGCUCACAUCCAUGCCUUCAGUCACUUCUGUAGGUUUCAGCAGUGUGCACCUUUGGCAAGGUCUGGCCUGAGCCCAGCUGAGCCUCUGUACCACCACUGCCACAGCUGCCUCCCCCCGCCCUACUGUGAGUCACUUCCAAAGACACUUUUAGUUCAUUAAUGCUGAGAUGCAUUAAAAUGAACCUCAGUAAAAUGGCAAUGCUGAUAAAAGCAGCCCCCAUCCUCCACCCACUCCAUGCCCCAGUUGCUCAGGUUCGUUUCUGUCUUUGAAUCAGACAGAGGGAAGCUCCAAUUUUCUGCAAAAUCACGUCUGGGUCCCAAAGGGAGCCUGGAGCAGACACACAGUUGUUGUGCUCCUGCAGGGACACUGAGGGCUGCAACUGGAAGCAACAGAUUGCUCUGGGGGCAGUGGCUUUGGGGGUACAUUGGCAUGUAGUGUGCAGUCCUACACAGCCCCAAGGAGUGUAUUUGUGCUGGUGAUGGCCCAACUUCGGGAUGCAUUGUAUGGAACAAGACCAAUCAGUAACUCAAUGACAUAAGGUUUUUAGCACCAAUGAGCUGGAGAUGGUGAUCAUGGGAUGUUAUUCCAAGAGGAAAAGUCAAAUGGAAAUGGAGGAUAAGUAUGCAAGAACUAAAGCAAAGCAACUUGUUGGGGAGACCAAAGCCACCACUGGGAUAAAUCCUUAUAGAACAGAGCUGAAGAGCCAGAUGAUGACGUGCUCUUUCCGAGUGAAUUUUCUCAGGGGCAACGAGGCACAGCUGAUGAGCAGGGCAGCAUAAAUCAGCAAAGCCUCCAAUACAGCCCAGCUGCACUGAUGUGACCAGAAAGCUCCAUCAAGCUAUUAAAUCAUUUGCACAAGACAAGCAGUCAAGCCCUUCUUUACCACUAGCAACCAACAUUCUGGUAAAACUCAUCUUUAUUUUGCUGUUGUCCUCAGCAUCACAUCGGUGGCCACUUAACAAUAAGUGCCUACAGGCCCUGAAAGCAAGAAGGCAAAAUCAGCAGGAGCACAGCUGGCAGGAGCUGAGCAUUUCUGUGGGGCCUCAGACAUAGGGAGUGUGGGCUGUGGGGCUCUGCCUGCAGACUGUGAUAAUGGGAACAGGGACUGUGGGAGUUCCUGCUGACUUUCACCUGCAUCAUCAGCUCUGUGUAAAUCUGUUAGUUGUGGUGGUGGUGAUCUGAGAGUGUAGGCAAAUUAAGGUUUGUGGCAAAGAACAAAACUUUUAGCAAAACGCACAGCUAUUUUUUUUAUUAGAGCAUCCAAUACAGGUAGGACAUGGACAAGCUUUAGGGCAAAGAGGCCCCACAGGACUUCCCUGGGUGUGAAACAGAAACAAAAAGCUUCAAGGAAGAUUCAGGCUGGAAAAACAUUCAGCUUCAGUUUAACAUAAUUAUGACAACAAAUUAGAGAGUUAGGAGGCAAAUCUGCCAGUAAGCACCUGUGAAAUCAGCCUUCAUAACCCUUGUGUAUCAGUUCAAAUCUGGGAUAUUGGAAUCCUGUUACAGCCAUCACCUGAUUUCCCAGUGUUUAAAAUGCAUCUACUGUUUUGCAAGGGACACACAAGUAGGAACUGUCACCUGGCAGAUGUGGGUUGCCCAUGCUGUGAUCUGCCUGUGGGGCUUUGCACAGUCUGUUGUUUGUAUGGGGCAGCGCCCAGCCCGGCUACUUCUGUUCCAAGAACAGCAUCUCUGUGUAUGUCCCUCUUCUGAAGCAAGC